Molecule: long non-coding RNA, 544 nt
Filed under: Mus spicilegus (steppe mouse)
Lineage: Eukaryota; Metazoa; Chordata; Mammalia; Rodentia; Muridae
Description: lncRNA (ENSMSIG00000028241.1)
Source: RNAcentral
GCGAAUUCCUGUCCCGGUCGUCGGGCAGCCACUGGACACUUGCCCAUCUUUCAGCCUUUAAAUUGAGAGGAACCACCGAAGAACGCAUGCACAGUGUUUCCCAAAAGCCCUGUAUCCUUGGGAGCAACCAAGAUGUAAUCGGUCAGAGAAAUGGUUUCUUCCUGGAUCCAUGUGAGUUAAACUGUUGUGGGACUGGAGACACUCGCGCCUGCAGAGUUGUGGUGACAAGCAAGCCUGUGAGUUCCCAGGCCAGCCCGCAAGAUGGUGAGAGGGAAGAGAGACAUGAUUGAGCUGCCUGGAAUCUGCAUCCACCUGUGUUGGAAAAACACCCAGACCCCAGCCCUGCAACUCGAAGCCAAGCUGGAGGCCAUCCCUGGGGACUUGUCACCCUAAUCACUACCAGGCUGCAAAUUAACAAAGUGAGUUUAGGGGGGAAAAAACCGUUGUGAAUUUCAGUUACUUGGGCAUUCGUAAAUCUGCUAGAAGUCAAGACUGAUGUUUUAUGGCUUGUUCAGAUGUUGACUGUUUACAAAUUAUACUUUCC